AUACCGACGCUGAACAUUAGCUAAAUUAAAUAACACUCCACUCUUGUCAUUGUGUGGCCGAAAGGUAUAUUAUUACCUUAAUUAAAUGACAAAAGAACUCUAAAAGUGAAUAAAACUGCAUAGAAACGAACAAAUUCGGCCACCCAUAAAAAAAUCCUAAUAAACUUGCACAAUAAGCAAAAUCCUUUGACAACUUGCACACUUGUAGUUCUAAUACCUGAAAUAACAGAAGCAAACACCUAUAUUACAUGUACUCAGUUUUGAUUUUUGCAGAUUGGCUGACGCUUACAAGGUUACAUUCAGCUAUCCACUUAUGUAGUUGUAUUUUAUACAAAAUUUAUACAAUGUCUUUUGCAUAUAUAUAAUAUAUAUAUAUAUAUAUAUAUAUAUAUAUAUUAUUUNNNNNNNNNNNNNNNNNNNNNNNNNNNNNNNNNNNNNNNNNNNNNNNNNNNNNNNNNNNNNNNNNNNNNNNNNNNNNNNNNNNNNNNNNNNNNNNNNNNNNNNNNNNNNNNNNNNNNNNNNNNNNNNNNNNNNNNNAUACAUAGCAAAAAAAAAUUUCACUUUCUCUCUCUAUAACCGUUUCUCUCAGCGCUCGAUUAGGUGAAUCUACUAACGUGCGCUGCUCACCGGAAUGGGAGGGCGAGGAAGACCACGGAAGCGGGUGAAUAAGGUACUGCUUACGGAUCCCAAGCUGCUCGAGGAACUGAAGAUCGGAACAGGAAGUGGAAAAUCACCAGCUGGAGGGAAUCUCCAUGGAUCUGCUGCAAAGCAUACAACAAUGGAUAAGGAAAAUCAAUCGAGCAAAUAGGAACUGGUCACGCCGAUAGCUGGGAAGGGGAAAUCAAUUGUGGAUAUGGAUGAAUCAAGCACAUGCAGGAAGGCUAACAAUAGUGAUAGUACUAAUUGCCAAGCAGGGGGUACCUCUGGGGUAAAAGAUGUGCAAACUCAGAGUAGUGGUUCUGACAAUAACAAAUCUAACAACAAGGAGAAGAAAGAUACUCAAAAGGUAGUAGGAAAUGGAAGUUUGCCAAUGGAGAAUAAAAAUACACAAACCUGGGCAAGUGUAGUUACUGUGAAACCUCCUUUUUACACACCCGAGAGUGAUAUAAGGGAGUUUUUCCAAUUUAAGUGACAUUAUUCUAAAAUGAGAUUAUUUAUUUUUUUCAGAGUCGCCACUUGGGAAAGGUUUGGCUUUUAGUGUCCCAAGUCACCGGUUUAUCUUGAAUCCCAAUUCGGGGAAAAUAUUCGACUUUCCGAAUGAAGUCUGCGAACCAGAAAUUCUAAGUAAGGAAUUCUGUUGACCCGAGGGAAGGUGUUAGGCACCCCCGAAUCCCGUGGUUCUAGCACGGUCGCUUACAUUGUUGUAAUGGCUAAAUAUCUGAUUUUUAUACACGUUAUAUCUUGUGUGCUUUUAUUAAGUUUAAACCGCUUUUAUUAUUAUUUUUAAUAGAAUUGCAACGUCGUAAAAACGCAUCUCGAACCACGUCACAAUCAAUGCACCCGUGGUUGUUAAUACGUUUCGACUCCGUUGAGAUUUGGAUUUAGGUCGCAUAAAUGCGCACCCAAGUUUAGGAAAGUAAUAUUAUUAAAAUCGCCUAAAGAUACUAACACGUUUGCAAGUUACGAGGGCCAUGAAAUUUACUAAAUGGCACACCUCAAAUUCUAAGGAUUAAACGACACUUUGACUAAAAGCGAGGGCCAAGAUUUCGUUAUUUUUUAAUUAGUAUGGCGCGCCUCGAGCAAACUACGAUAUUCAUGAUUUGCUCCUUGCCUAAGCAAUACGUGAUUCGUUUAAGCAAAUAUGGUGCGAGAUAUUUCAUGCAAUAAUCUUUAUCUGGUCAGAAUAAAUAGACGAAUUCGGACCAACAUCUAAACAAAAUUGACACACUGUAUAUAGUAUUGCAUAAGAUACUUACCCAAUCUUAAUAAAGCGGCUUGAGAAUAAGGGCUUUUUUUUAGUGAAAGAAAAAGCUUUUAUUGGGAUUAAACUAAGUUAUAUGUCAAAAAAUAAAAAUAAAAGAAAAAUUAAUAUACAAAAUCUUCUAGUAGUUGGUACGUACUAUUUUUGACCCAAAAAUAGAAAGAAAUGAGACUAGGCUUUUAAUCACCUCUAUACAACUUCAAUCCUUUCUUUCUUCUUAGUUUUGCCAAUCCCUUUUUUCACAUGAGAACAGAUUCUUGUGGUUGCCAUGAAAAUAUAUCGGUUUACAAUGGUGAGAAGUGAGUUUUGUCCACUGAAAUUCAUGCCAUCAACAUUUAAACACUUCUAGAAAAUAUUAAAUCUCAUGUACUAGUCAAAUAAAAAAUAUAUAGGAAAAAGUCAUUCUUUUCACCUUGGAUGCGGUACUUCAAUGCAACAAACAAGCAAUAUUAGAUCAAAUGAAAUUAAAAGAGGGAGACCCAUGGAUAGCAUGAUAAAUCCAUUAACAAGAAAAUGAAAUGAAACCAUAAACCACAACUUAACUUCACUACAACAAUCAUACCAUCAUGAAAAUAUUCAUUCAUUUCCUAAACUCAUAAGAUUUAAGCAGAAUACUUGAUUGAACAAAACUCUAAAACAACGAGUUUAUAGAAUAGCUACAGCGUCCAACAGUCACAAUAAGGAGGAAAGUAGUUACACAAAACUAUGUGAUUUAACUCUUAAUUACAAACCCCCUUUUGGGCAGAAUACACUAAUUGAAAACUCAAAAGUACACAGUGAUAGUAUAUUAAAAGAAGAAAGGGUGUAGACUAGCUUUCUCAUUCUUAAUUCAUGAUUCAAGUUUACACCUCAAAUGAUAUCCAUAGGAUCAAGAUAUACCUGGAAAGAGGAAAACAGAGGAGGGGGGGGGGGGGGGGUGAGAUUUAGCAGACUCAGCAGCAGCAAGAAUCAGUGUUCAGCAAGCACAAAUGAACCCAGGAAUGACUAAAGAGGACCAACUUAAAACUCACAAUUUAGAACCAACAAUAUAUCAAUGGAACACAAUCAACAAAACCACACCAAGCAGGGUCCAAUUACUUGAAUGCAAACUAAAUUUAGCUCUUCAAAUUGAUGAAAACAGUUCAAGAAGAGUGAGCUAAGAGAGAUCAGACAAUCAAACUUAAACCAACAAUACAGUUUUCUGCACUUUUAUAUCAUUUCUUCUGGAUUUCUCAAUUUCCUCACUCAGGUUUUCAAAAUGUCCAAGGUUGUCCCUCUCUAUUGCUCUCCGUCAGAUUGUUAAGCUUCCUUGACCUCUCUAUUUUUCAGGGUUUUUUUUUCUUACAAUUUCAGAUUUUUUUUCUUGUGUUCUACCUCCCUUUUAUUCUGAUUUCCAGCUCUCUAAAGUGGGUAUUCCAUUAGUGCAUUUGCCACUAACAACUUAUCUUUUCAUUUUUUAAUUAUCCCACUACCCUAGUGCCUUCUUAUUUUACUAGUAAUGCCCAUUUCAAUCCCCUAAAAUCAACCAGUGCCUUUCUCGUUAUAAGUGUCCCCUCCCUUAUUAAUUAAUUAGUUAGUGCAACUUCCAUUACCAAUCUCCUUUUUCCAUUUUUUAAUUAUCUACUUGCUGAAUUAGUGACACACUAUCCUAGUGUUGUUAUUAAAAAUCAGUUGAUGAAUAGCAAGCCAUUAUGUCCAGCUAUAACUAAUUCGAGCAAACAUACGGGCAAAUAGCUAAAUGAACAACUUCAAAUCCGCGGAGAGCAACUACGAAAGAAAAAGAAAUCUUUAACUGCAGCUUCUUAACUACGUUCAAUCCACCAGCAUUUGCGCAGUAAGGGUGUAAACUAUCCAGAAAACAUGUUCUAGGAAAAGACAUAAAAUCACUCCAACAUUUCCUAUAACAAGUAUUUGGCCAGCAACUUAAUUUGAAUAUCAUUUGGAAUACCAAUGGCGCAAGUCUUAUAUUUACGGUAUCUAACUUGAUUUUCCUAAAUCAAUUAGAACAUGAAGAUUGCAAUUCUACCUUUGCACUAUAAGGUAAACGUCCAUAUUUACAACAUGACAGUAAAGUAAGAAGAGAACAUUUUCCUUUACAGAGCAACCAAAACCCAUGUAUUGGCUAUACAGGUUCAAACUUAUGCACAAAUCAAACCAUACAACUCAAUCAUCAAAACCAUGUAUAUGAAAUUAAAAGAGAUAGGAAAGAUUUGAACCAAGUGUUGCCAAUUAAUGAGAGUUUUCAACUUCACAACUUCUGGAUGCCAAAAUGGCUACAACAAGUGACACAACUGAAAUUUGAACCACAGAUGCAAAACGGACCUCAAACCCGAAACAACGAUUCUGCGAAAUGUGACUCCGAACCUCGACAGUGACUCAAAAUCAGCGAAUUCAACUCUGACUCAAACAAACUCCAUCUCGCCACUAGUGAACGCACAAGCUAGUCUCGCGGCAAGGUUAAAGCAACGUAAACAAUCCAUAAAGCAAAGAGAAAUGCUAACCCUGCCCCUGUUUCUGUCUGUUUCCUCUAUGUGGAUUAGAGAUGAGAAAAUUAGUUCAUCUUUUCGCUCUUGUUCUCUCCCUAUGUUUACGUGUGUGUGUGCAUGAUUUUCAGGCUGAACAUGUCGCGAAUUUGGUGGCUGUUCGGCAACGGGGCUGGGUGGAGUCGUGUGGUUCGUGGUUGGAGAUGGAGGAGGGAGCUGUGGCGCCGCUGGUUGAGGUCAUUUGUUGGGUGGGGAAACGAAGAAGACGGGGUUCGGAGGCGUGGAGAGGACGGUGGUCUAGGAGGUGUUAUUUGGGGGUGGUGGCUCUAAUUAGGGUUGAAGAAGACGGGGAAAUGAAAAAUGAAAUGGAGUGGGG
This 4759-nucleotide long non-coding RNA is filed under the name Nicotiana tabacum (common tobacco). Its description in RNAcentral is "long non-coding RNA (NTAB_LNC001164)". The record is from RNAcentral. Lineage: Eukaryota; Viridiplantae; Streptophyta; Magnoliopsida; Solanales; Solanaceae.